RNAcentral lists this ribosomal RNA (2982 nucleotides) under Actinomycetota bacterium. Its description in RNAcentral is "Actinobacteria bacterium (anaerobic digester metagenome) 23S ribosomal RNA". It matches the Rfam family "Bacterial large subunit ribosomal RNA". The record is from RNAcentral. Lineage: Bacteria; Bacillati; Actinomycetota.
GGUCAAGUUAAUAAGGGCAUAUAGCGGAUGCCUUGGCGGUAAAGGGCGAUGAAGGACGUGGUAGGCUGCGAUAAGCCUCGGGUAGCUGUCUAACAAGCUUUAAUCCGGGGAUUUCCGAAUGAGGGAACUCAGUAUCUUUAAUCAGAUACUAUUACUGUCUGAAUGCAUAGGGCAGUAAGGCACACCAGGUGAACUGAAACAUCUAAGUAACCUGAGGAAAAGAAAUCAAUUUAGAGAUUGCCUCAGUAGUGGCGAGCGAACGGGCAAGAGCCUAAACCUGUCAAAUGUCAAAGCUUACGGGCGUUGUUUGACAGGGGUUGUAGGGAUUGUUAUGUGUAGCUGUAAAUACACAGGAGAGUAAAAAAACUAGUCGAUAGCAAAAUAAUCUGGAAAGUUUAGCCAUAGCAGGUAAUAGCCCUGUAUGCGAAAUCGAAUAGUCUUUCCAACAAUUACCUAAGUACAACGGAACACGUGAAACUCUGUUGGAAUCUGCGAGGACCAACUCGUAAGGCUAAAUACUUUUACCGACCGAUAGUGAAGUAGUACCGUGAGGGAAAGGUGAAAAGUACCCCGGAAGGGGAGUGAAAUAGAACCUGAAACUGUAUGCCUACAAGCAGCGGGAGGCACUUUAUGUGCUCACCGUGUACUUUUUGUAGAACGGACCGGCGAGUUACAGUAUGUAGCAAGGUUAAGCUUAUUAAAGCGGAGCCGCAGCGAAAGCGAGUCUGAAUAGGGCGUUUAGUUAUAUGCUGUAGACCCGAAGCUGAGUGAUCUAUCCUUGGUCAGGGUGAAGCGAAGGUAAAACUUUGUGGAGGCCCGAACCCACCAACGCUGAAAAGUUGGGGGAUGAACUGAGGAUAGGGGUGAAAGGCCAAUCAAACUCAGAAAUAGCUGGUUCUCCCCGAAAUAGCUUUAGGGCUAGCCUCAAGUGUUUGAUACUGGUGGUAGAGCACUGAAUGGACUAGGGGCCUUACACGGCUACCAAAUCCAAUCAAACUCCGAAUGCCAGUAUUUUAAGCUUGGGAGUCAGACUAUGGGGGCUAAGCUUCAUAGUCAAAAGGGAAACAGCCCAGACCAUCGGUUAAGGUCCCCAAAUACAUGCUAAGUGGUAAAGGAAGUGAAACCACUUAGACAACCAGGAUGUUUGCUUAGAAGCAGCAAUCAUUUAAAGAGUGCGUAACAGCUCACUGGUCAAGUGAUUUUGCGCCGAAAAUAUAGCGGGGCUCAAGCAUGUUACCGAAACCAUGGAAUUUACGUAAGUAAAUUGGUAGGGGAGCGUUAUAUAAGGAUUGAAGUUCAACUGUAAGGUUGGGUGGACUUUAUAUAAGUGAGAAUGCCGGUAUGAGUAACGAAAGACAGGCGAGAAACCUGUCCACCGAAUGCCUAAGGUUUCCUGGGGAAGGGUAUUCCGCCCAGGGUUAGUCGGGGCCUAAGCCGAGGCCGAAAGGCGUAGGCGAUGGAUAACGGGUUAAUAUUCCCGUACGACCAGUUUAUGUUUGAGCAAUGGGGUGACGAAGAAAGGUAGGUUAGCGCGGUUUGGUUGUCUGCGUGCAAGCGAGUGGGGUGUCAGCUAGGAAAAUCCGGUUGACGUUAAGCCCGAGACGUGAUGCCGAGCCAAUUGCGGUGAAGUAAUUGAUCCUAUGCUUCCUAGAAAAACCUCUAGUUAGUAAUCUGGUUCUCGUACCAAAACCAACACAGGUAGGCAAGUAGAGAAUACUAAGGUGAUCGAGAUAACUCUCGUUAAGGAACUCGGCAAUAUAACCCCGUAACUUAGGGAAAAGGGGUACCACGGUAGGGUGAGAGAAUUUACUUUUUAAGCUCGAGGUGGUUGCAAUGCAAGGCUCAGGCGACUGUUUACUAAAAACACAGGUCUCUGCUAAGUCGUAAGACGAUGUAUAGGGGCUGACGCCUGCCCGGUGCUGGAAGGUUACGAGGAGAGGUUAGGGAUUCGUCCCGAAGCUUUGAAUCUAAGCCCCAGUAAACGGCGGCCGUAACUAUAACGGUCCUAAGGUAGCGAAAUUCCUUGUCGGGUAAGUUCCGACCUGCACGAAUGGCGUAACGAUCUGAGCGCUGUCUCAACGAGAGACUCGGUGAAAUUGUAAUAUUGGUAAAGAUACCAAUUUCCCACAAUAGGACAGGAAGACCCCGUGAACCUUUACUGUAGCCUGAUAUUGAACUUUGGUUUGUUAUAUGCAGGAUAGGUAGGAGGCUUUGAAGCCGGAGCGUCAGCUCUGGUGGAGCCAACGGUGAGAUACUACCUUUAGCAUUCUGGAGUUCUAACUGCAUUCCGUUAUCCGGGUGCAGGACAGUGGCAGGUAGGCAGUUUGACUGGGGCGGUCGCCUCCCAAAAAGUAACGGAGGCGUACAAAGGUUCCCUCAGAGUGUUUGGAAAUCACUCGUAGAGUAUAAGGGCAUAAGGGAGCUUAACUGCAAGACCUACAGGUCAAGCAGAAACGAAAGUUGGUCCUAGUGAUCCGGCGGCUCAGUGUGGAAUGGCCGUCGCUCAACGGAUAAAAGGUACUCCGGGGAUAACAGGCUUAUCACGCCCAAGAGUCCAUAUCGACGGCGUGGUUUGGCACCUCGAUGUCGGCUCAUCGCAUCCUGGGGCUGUAGUCGGUCCCAAGGGUUUGGCUGUUCGCCAAUUAAAGCGGUACGCGAGCUGGGUUUAGAACGUCGUGAGACAGUUCGGUCCCUAUCUAUUGUGGGCGUAGGAGAAUUGAGGGGAUUUGUCCCUAGUACGAGAGGACCGGGAUGAGCGAACCUCUGGUGUGUCAGUUGUUCUGCCAAGAGCAUUGCUGAUUAGCCAAGUUCGUAAAGGAUAAGUGCUGAAAGCAUAUAAGCAUGAAGCCCACCCCAAGACUAGUUCUCCCAUCCUUUAUGGAGUAAGACCCCUUGCAGAACACAAGGUUGAUAGGUCAGAAGUGUAAGCACAGCAAUGUGUUUAGCUGACUGAUACUAAUAGGUCGAGGACUUGACCUUAUA